AUUUUGAAUAGAUUUGGGCCAUUUGGAGUCGGGUAUUCGUGGCAAGAACCUGAUAUCGAGUUGAUUGAGCUGGUUCGAGGUUUCAUCACGACAGUUAAAGGAGGGCGAACUCGGGUCGUCACACGAGUCUGCCUGAAGAACAAGGUUUGAAAGCUCAAGUCUACUCCAAGUUCAAGUUUAUUUCAAGUCCAAGCAGCAGGAGCCCGCUUGAAAAUCUGGGUCAAGGUUCAUUAUCCUUCAAGUUCAAGUAGCAGGAGCACGCCUAAAGAACAUGGUCAACUUUAUCUUAAAUUCAAGCAUCAGGAUCCCACCUAAAAAAUAAGGAACCGCGGACCGGAACCUCGACGGCACUUCACUCGACUCUCUCCAGCUCGAUAUCCUUCUCAUUUUUCUUACUUCUGAACUACACGUGACCUGAUUUCUUUAUAGCCAAGGAUAUGUAGGCAGCUCAUAUACCAGGGUCAGGUCACACUCUUUUACCUACCUUUACUUUCUUUGAAUAAGUAUCGAGUCAGAGGUUAAUUACAUUGCUUACUUAAUUCUUUGCUUGGAAACUCUUCGAGUUUCCAAGCAAAGAAGGGCAGCUGUAAGCCCGUAAUUUUUGACCCACGAUUUCUAAAAUUAGUAAAUUAAUAUAUUUAUUUAUUUU
Nicotiana tabacum (common tobacco) is the source of this 649-nucleotide non-coding RNA. NCBI's taxonomy places the organism in Eukaryota, Viridiplantae, Streptophyta, Magnoliopsida, Solanales, Solanaceae. The record is from RefSeq and is a predicted model, not a curated record.